UCGUAAGGAGAAGGCUUCAUUGGAAGGAGAGUUCAUCCAUAGCAGCUAUCCGUGAGUUGGG
Molecule: ribosomal RNA, 61 nt
Filed under: Hematodinium sp.
Lineage: Eukaryota; Dinophyceae; Syndiniales; Syndiniaceae
Description: partial ribosomal RNA
Source: RNAcentral